Molecule: non-coding RNA, 28 nt
Filed under: Homo sapiens (human)
Lineage: Eukaryota; Metazoa; Chordata; Mammalia; Primates; Hominidae
Source: RNAcentral
UGCACGAAUAGGCAGGCAAUCUGACGAC